RNAcentral lists this long non-coding RNA (439 nucleotides) under Calidris pygmaea (Spoon-billed sandpiper). RNAcentral's name for it is "lncRNA (ENSCPGG00000013748.1)". The record is from RNAcentral. Lineage: Eukaryota; Metazoa; Chordata; Aves; Charadriiformes; Scolopacidae.
UCAUAAGAUGCCAGGCUCCCGAGUUGAUUUUUUUUCUUAAGAGGCUACUGCAUUAAAACAUAUGGCAGAGAGGAUUUUUUUUUUUUUACUUGGUUCUCAACAGGGAGAAAUGGGAGCCCAAGGCCCACCGGGGUUUCCAGGAAAAGCUGGUCCCAAGGCCCUGCCAGGUCCCCCUGGUCCACGUGGAGCUCCCGGCUCCCAGGGCAGAGCAGGAGACCCGGGUCCUCGAGGGCUUCCAGGGCUGCCUGGUGUUCCUGGCCCACGGGGGCUGGAUGGCAUCCCUGGAAAGCCUGGCUCAGCAGGAGAAAUGGGGGCUCCCGGAGCGGCUGGUGCUACUGGCCCACCUGGGUACCCGGUGAGUGCAGAUAUGUGGUUCCUUCAAUCAGUGCCCAACACAACCUCCUGCCUCAGCUGGUAGGACAAGGAGCAAGAUUUUGCU